CACUAUUCUGUGCGCAGUGCAGACAAAUUUUGUCGUCAGCAAGUUUGGGGAAGACUUGACCAUGAUGUGCUGACAGAGCAACUUUGCAAGACAGCAAAGAAAUUGAUUUAUCCAAAAGGGUGACAACUCACAUAUUAAUAUAGUGAGUCACAGGAUUACUGUGCAGGAUAGGAAUAAUAAAGAAUGAGGCAGCUGAAGGGAAAAGCAAAGAAAGAAACCCGGAGGGACAAAGAGGAGAGGAAACAAACAUUCCACGAGGCCAGGAAUCAGGUGGUGACAAUUGUGCUACCAGUGCUCGGAGCUAUUGUCCUGCUCAUCACACUUUUUGUCUACGUGAACACCAGGCCAAAGGCUUGAGCCAGAAGGCCUUUUGCUUCUUGCCAUGCGUGAAGACCAUCACAUUUACCACAUAGUGUGGAAAUGCUGCUUUUUUUUGUGACUAGAGAGUAGAGACUAUAGGCUGGGGUUUUGUGAUUUGGGGAGCACACAAGAUAUUAAAGAGUCCAGUACUAUACUGUAAAUGCAGAGGGAACUUUCACAGGGGUUUUAUUUUUGCGAACUCUCAACUGCAAAUGUAUUACUAGUACAAAAUGUACUACAAAAUUUUACUAUAGAAAUCUGUACUACAGAAUUGUUUCAACAGCAAAUUCAAAACAUUGGUCAAAACAUUUUUCCCUCCUUCCAUGAAAUAUAACCAACACAAAAUUAAAAACAUCUACAGUGAUUUUACUAAUAGUCAGUAAUGUCAAGUACAGGAGUUACGUCUGUAAAAAAGGGACAAAAGUACAUGUAUCAAGAACAUGAGAUUUUUAAAGCAUCUUGAGAUUGACCACAAGAGGCAUUUUACCCAAACAAUCUUGCCAGGAAUAAACCCUAUAAACCAGUCAGUUCUAUUUUCAAGAGACAGUCAGUGCAGGCAACAAAAGCCUUAUUAGGCUAAAUUUACCAAGGCAGAGUUCAAACUACAAUAAGGUAUAACCAUUUCAUACACCAGAACUUUUUUUAUAUAUGAUACUUGGCUAGAUUUACUGCCAUUACAUGUUAACUGUGUCAUACAUGUAGCAUACUAGUACAUGUAAAUGCUGUUGUGCCAUGGAACAUAAAGGCAGGGGGCCAUUAUGAAAUAAACCUUAUUUUCUCAUCUUGUGAA
Branchiostoma belcheri (Belcher's lancelet) is the source of this 1150-nucleotide long non-coding RNA. RefSeq lists it as uncharacterized. The record is from RefSeq and is a predicted model, not a curated record. Lineage: Eukaryota; Metazoa; Chordata; Leptocardii; Amphioxiformes; Branchiostomatidae. The transcript is spliced from 4 exons.